CAAGCAGACCGGCUCCCUGCACGACCGCUGCAACGAGACCGGCUACUGUGAAUGCAAGGAAGGAGCCACGGGGCCAAAGUGCGACGACUGCCUGCCCAACUACUACUGGAGACAGGGCUGCUUCCCCAACGUCUGUGACGACGAGCUCCUGCUCUGCCAGAACGGCGGCACCUGCUACCAGAACCAGCGCUGCAUCUGCCCUGUGGGCUUCAAGGGGGUCCUGUGCCAGCAGUCACGGUGCGAAGCUGACAAAAAGGACUGUGAUGGUGCCUCCAGCACACGGGCCGCCAUCAGCACCGUCCUCCUCAGCGCGCUGGGCCUCCAGCUGCGUGGCUGGGCUGACCUCUGAGCCGGGAGGAGGGAGCCCAGCCGAGGCACGGCACCGAGGAUUCAGGGAGUGCAAAGCAAUGGUGGAUCUCCCCACCAGCUCCUCUGCCUUCCUUCACGCUAGGACUUGCACAACGUCUUUCGGCCACUUUUCAAGCAGCUGAAAAGCAGGGCCGAAUCCUGACCACGGAACCACGCGGGGCGGCCGCAGCGCAGAGCUGAUGGCUGAGCAGCAAAGCAGGGACUGCAGCAGAGCCACACGGAUACGGCCGUCCUUCCUUCCCCGCUCCGCACAGGGCAACCCGGAGCCCUGGUGCCAUAGUGCCGCAAUCCAAGGGAGAAUAUUUUUUUUUUUUUUAUGAUUUAUUUACUUUGGUAGAGGUUGGGGUGUUCUUUUUCUUCCCUUCCUCUUAGUGUCCCGUCUCAAAAAAAAGCCUCUCAUGAUACCAUCAGAGUCCCGCAGCACCACAAGGAGGGGGAGGGAGGGAGGGAAGAGGGGACUCUGCUCCAUCCCGCUGCGUAGCCCCGCCGCCAGCCGGGCCUGGCUGCUCACAUACCGUUGCCUACAGCUCUAGUUGCUGCAUUGAUUUUGUAUCUCAUUGCCGGGUUUUGUUUUCUUGCACUUACGGAGAGCACAGGGGCCAUUAGGCGUACGGUGCGUAAGGAGGGCAGUGUCUUAUCCACACAUUUCCGUAUAGCGUACGGUUCAAAUCCUCUUUUUUUUUUUGUAGAGACUUAUUUUUGUUUGAAGUAAAUGUUAUUAAAGGAACCACAACUUAAAGGGACAUUUUGCCAUGAGCGUUUGAUUAUGGUGUAUCCUCCUACAGUAAAGCAACUAUCAAUUGCUGCUUGAUUGCCACGUUUUCCUUUCUGUGUGCACAGUUAAUUACAGGUAAAAACUCAUUUUUUUUUGAUUCAUAACGUCCUCUUGUGUUUUCUGAGUCACUGGCAAGGUGAGGGAGAGACGUAGCUUCAUCACUGAGGGGCGUUAAUUAUUUCUCCUAAUUACUUUGCUGAACUUAGUUGCACCACUAGCUGUAGACAAUGAACGAUAUAUUAAGCCCCAGCCUCG
RNAcentral lists this long non-coding RNA (1399 nucleotides) under Chrysolophus pictus (golden pheasant). RNAcentral describes it as "lncRNA (ENSCPIG00010002411.1)". The record is from RNAcentral. Lineage: Eukaryota; Metazoa; Chordata; Aves; Galliformes; Phasianidae.